CCUUGUGCGACUGAUGACAGCGCAGCUGCUGAGACUCCGUGAUUGCUCAGUCUCAAAGUAAACGCUCUGACGCACUGCCC
Small nucleolar RNA from Marmota marmota marmota (Alpine marmot), 80 nucleotides. Ensembl annotates it as small nucleolar RNA, C/D box 105B. Its record names the gene SNORD105B. NCBI's taxonomy places the organism in Eukaryota, Metazoa, Chordata, Mammalia, Rodentia, Sciuridae. The record is from Ensembl.